Lolium perenne is the source of this 522-nucleotide long non-coding RNA. RefSeq lists it as uncharacterized. The record is from RefSeq and is a predicted model, not a curated record. Lineage: Eukaryota; Viridiplantae; Streptophyta; Magnoliopsida; Poales; Poaceae.
GCUGUUGCACAAGGACCCAAGGAGGAUCAAUAAUAAGGAAUUAAACAAGGGAACAAGGGUAGCUACUGGCGCAAGAAUAAAGCCGAUCCAAGACCCUUGAUGAGAGAAGGAGCGGGUGAUCGAUUUUUACUAUGACUUAUUGACUUAGAAGGUAACUGGAGGUUUUCAGAAAGAAGAAAGAGAGAAGAUAACCGGGACAGACUCAAGGAGGAGUCCUGCCGGGAACGAGAAAAACUCCACGCUGGAACGGAUUCCGGCAGCGAAGGAGAAAUAAAACCAUAAAGCUGCCUGGUGGUUAGGUCGAAGAAGAAAGGGCUCGUCCUUCUCUGUCGCUUACGUUCAUCCCGAACCCAGACCCACCUCUUUCCCGACGAAAUCUCGCCACAACGCACGAUGGCUCCUACGCCUACCGGCAAAAGAAACUAUUGUAGGAUUCCUGGCACAGUCAAGCUGCUAUUCGAGACACCCUCCGGCUUCGCGAUCUUCACUUUCGACGAGAAAUAUCUCAAAAAAAGUAUCGAG